RNAcentral lists this ribosomal RNA (596 nucleotides) under Athelia bombacina. Its description in RNAcentral is "SSU rRNA". It matches the Rfam family "Bacterial small subunit ribosomal RNA", at positions 398 to 965 of the family's 1533-position model. Lineage: Eukaryota; Fungi; Basidiomycota; Agaricomycetes; Atheliales; Atheliaceae. The record is from RNAcentral.
CUCACAAGAGUGAACUAGCUAACUGAAAUCAAAGGAGUGUCUUCUUUGAUAAAAUAUAGAUAAAUAAUGAUUUCUAUAUCAAUAGUGUUGUCCAAAACUGGUGCCAGAAGACUCGGUAAUACCAGAGACGCGAACGUUAGUCAUCUUUAACAGGCGUAAAGAAUUCGCAGGCGUCUUCGAAAGCUUAUACUUUUUAAUAGUCUACCACCCUUUCCCCUUGCGUUAUGCACGAGGGAGGGGAGGGUUAAAAAAGAAUAAGUGAUUUGAAGAUAGAAUCUAAUAGAGGAUGUAAAAAAUACUGAGAGUAGGGUUAAAAUCCGCAAAACCUUGGUGGAAUUUCAAUGGCGAAGGCUAUUCAUCUAGUUACAGAUUGACGCUGAGGAAUGAAGGUGUGGAUACCGAAAGAGAUUAGAGACCUCAUUAGCCCACACAGUCAACGAUGUAUGGUANUCUGCUAAUAUAUUAAAUAUUGGUGGCGAAGUUAACGCGUUUACCAUACCGCCUUGCGAGUACGACUGCAAAGUUGAAAUCUAAAAAAUUAGUCGGUCUCGAAGCAAACGAAGUGAAGCAUGUUAUUUAAUUCGAUAACCGCCAAA